RNAcentral lists this long non-coding RNA (835 nucleotides) under Chelonoidis abingdonii (Abingdon island giant tortoise). RNAcentral describes it as "lncRNA (ENSCABG00000011317.1)". Lineage: Eukaryota; Metazoa; Chordata; Testudines; Testudinidae. The record is from RNAcentral.
AGAUUUAAUAUUCAGUUAUAGCUUCACUAUGAACAAAUACAAACUUUUUCUCUAAAAUAUUUAUGGAUAGGAUAAGAAACAAGGGAAAAAACGGAGAAAGAAGAAGUAUCGCUCCUUGCGGAAAUCUUCUGAAAGCUCUACAUCUGAUUCUGAAUCAGACAGCAAGGACAGCACAAAAAAGAAAAAAUCAAAGGAAGAACAUGAAAGAGAAAAGGACAACAAAAGUCUUAGUAGGAAAAGGAAGAAAAUUGAUCGUGGGAAUGGACCUUUAUCAUCUGAGUCCUUAUCAGAGUCAGAUCCUACAGAGGAGGUGCAAGUGAAAAAGAAAAAAAACAGUGAAGAAAGAGAGAAAGAUAAAACAAAAAAGAGAAAGAAGCACAAGAAACAUGGGAAAAAGAAGAAAAAGAAGACAGCUGGUUCAAGUUCAGAUUCAGAAUAACACUUAAAAAUCAAGCCUGUCCCUUCAACAAAAGUGCAAUGACUAAAGGAAACUUCAACUGUGAAAAUUAUCGCAAACUUUACCACACUGCAUGAGUUUUCCAGUGUUUUAGAAAUAUUACUAGACUUUCAAUAGCCAGCCAGGUGCUAAUGUGCCCAAAAAAUCCAUUGUUGUUGCCUGCUGCUUAAUACCUGGGGUACAAUUUUUUUUUUUUAUUAUAGUAGCCAGUGUUAGUUUAAAAUCAUGAGAGAGGGUGGUCCAGCUAAUAUGUAAAAUAUUAGGAAAUAGAGUGCAACUUUUAGAUACUAAAAAUAGUGUUUUAACAAGUUAGUAAUAUAGUCCAAUUUUUAAAUCUGCAGAAAUAAAAUCAAAAAUUCAUCUUGAAGAGGAAUAUAA